AUGAGAACACCGUGCGUCUGGGUUUUGAUCCGGCCGUGUCUUCCCACUUCUACGUGUUUAUGUUGCUACCUGAAUCCAGCGAGGACUUAUGCCUCACCAGAGUGGAUGUGUUUUCGUCGGAAACCGGACGGUGGCGGGGCGAAAGCCUUUUUCGGUAAAGAGAAGAGAUGGAACGAGAACUUUUGGCUUGUUACUCCUCAGUACCAACCUAGUGCUUUCCUCAAUGGCUGCAUGCAUUUUCACGCAUUUGGCAGCAUGUCACUCCUUUGUCUGGUUGCAGUGGACACGGAGGGGACAUGGAGGAUCGUCCCUGUCCCUAGUGGUCCGUAUAAUUCUUUUGUUCAGCAGUCACAUGGCUGCUUGCAUUAUUCCAGUUUUCAGAGAAAAAAUGGGGAUGUGGAUCGACUAGUUGUUUAUGUUCUCGAGGACUAUGGCAACAAAGAGUGGACGUUGAAGCAUAGUGUUGAAGCUUCACACAUGUCUGGAGGGACACAUCGUAUUGGUCACCGUUGGAUGUCGAUUCAUCCGGACUGUGACUUGAUCUUCUUCACAGCGGGGCGGGAUACUGAAUUCAUGUCGGAAUUCAUGUGCUAUAAUAUGGACCGUCAGCAAGUAAAGGUGGUCUCCAAUCUUGAAUAUGGAGCCCGACCAUACCUACCAUAUGUACCAUUCUAUGCGUUGUUACAAUCUUUGCACUUGUGA
RNAcentral lists this ribosomal RNA (702 nucleotides) under Triticum aestivum (bread wheat). RNAcentral's name for it is "partial small subunit ribosomal RNA". The record is from RNAcentral. Lineage: Eukaryota; Viridiplantae; Streptophyta; Magnoliopsida; Poales; Poaceae.